This 344-nucleotide ribosomal RNA is filed under the name uncultured bacterium. Its description in RNAcentral is "bacterial SSU rRNA". It matches the Rfam family "Bacterial small subunit ribosomal RNA", at positions 149 to 491 of the family's 1533-position model. The record is from RNAcentral.
UUUCGAAAGAAAGAUUAAUACCCGAUAGCAUAGUUUUUCCCGCAUGGUUUCACUAUUAAAGAAUUUCGGUUAUCGAUGGGGAUGCGUUCCAUUAGAUAGUUGGCGGGGUAACGGCCCACCAAGUCAACGAUGGAUAGGGGUUCUGAGAGGAAGGUCCCCCACAUUGGAACUGAGACACGGUCCAAACUCCUACGGGAGGCAGCAGUGAGGAAUAUUGGUCAAUGGACGAGAGUCUGAACCAGCCAAGUAGUGUGAAGGAUGACUGCCCUAUGGGUUGUAAACUUCUUUUAUACGGGAAUAAAGUGGAGUAUGCAUACUCCUAUGUAUGUACCGUAUGAUAACGA